RNAcentral lists this ribosomal RNA (437 nucleotides) under uncultured bacterium. Its description in RNAcentral is "bacterial SSU rRNA". It matches the Rfam family "Bacterial small subunit ribosomal RNA", at positions 954 to 1392 of the family's 1533-position model. The record is from RNAcentral.
GCAUAACGCGAAGAACCUUACCAGGGCUUGACAUCCCUCUGACCCCUCUAGAGAUAGAGGCUCUCUUCGGAGCAGAGGUGACAGGUGGUGCAUGGUUGUCGUCAGCUCGUGUCGUGAGAUGUUGGGUUAAGUCCCGCAACGAGCGCAACCCUUGUCCUUAGUUGCCAGCAUUGAGUUGGGCACUCUAAGGAGACUGCCGUCGACAAGACGGAGGAAGGUGGGGAUGACGUCAAAUCAUCAUGCCCCUUAUGUCCUGGGCUACACACGUGCUACAAUGGAUGGUACAACGGGCUGCGAACUCGCGAGAGUAAGCCAAUCCCAAAAAACCAUUCUCAGUUCGGAUUGUAGGCUGCAACUCGCCUACAUGAAGUCGGAAUCGCUAGUAAUCGCGGAUCAGCAUGCCGCGGUGAAUACGUUCCCGGGUCUUGUACACACCG